AAGGAGCUCAAGUUCUGCUGAGGGAUUUUUUCUGAGCAUGUAUUUCACGAUGGAUCUCCUUGCUUUUGAGGAAGCAGUCACGAAGUUGGGGCAUGAGGUUACAAAGCUAUAUUUAAGAUUCAAUGGAGCUGGAGAUUGCAGUGGUGCAAUUCAUGUGCUGAGAAGCAGGAAUUUAAAGUCCUUCAGAUGGCAUAAGGAUAAAGCCCAACCUGCGACAAGGUGGUAGGCAGUUACCACUGGCUUUGCUUUGAGUAGUAUGGGAGACUACUCAUGCCUGCUCUCAACUUUGAAUUCUGAUUGAGUAAGUAUUCAAUUUCUUGAUAAUUUCUGUAAUAGGAAAUGAAAAUCCAGGUAGGAAGGAAGAGAUAUUAAAAGCCACCGGCAGUCUGUUCAAAAAAGUAAAAUUAUUUCCACCCUUGUCUGAUAGCAUUAACUCUGCUGUAGAUUUCAGACUUCUACCAUUUGCUUCUUCUAACUUCUGCUCUAGAAAAAUUCCCCAGCUUUACACCAUUUUUUUUUUUAGUGAAAUAUUGAAGGUGUUGAAGGAAGCAGUGUGGUGGAUACAUGGCUUUUGAAAGGCACAAAAAGGUACUGAAACACCAAAGAGACAGUCUGAUAAAAUCUAGAGUAAAAACAAAACAACAAAAACAAAAAAGGGCCAUUACAUAGUGUUGCAAAAAACUAAGAAGCAUAAUUUACUAUUUUUAGCAGUUUUAUUUAUGGAAGUGCCUAGCGACCAACAAGUAGAGUUUUAACAGAGUAGGUACUGUUCGUUUCAGACAAAGAAUGAAGAUAAUCCUUGCUUUGUGGAGAUGAAAUGUAAAGAAACAUAAUAAACGUGAAAAGGAAAAAGAUACAUGGUUUAUAAAUACCAUAAGAAAAUGAUAGAUUCUUCUUAAACUGCAGCUUCUUUAAAAUAUUUAAUUACUUUGUGUAAAAGAUCCUAGCUGAUACGUUAAUAAUCCAGUGCUAGGUAGAACACUGG
Long non-coding RNA from Tympanuchus pallidicinctus (lesser prairie-chicken), 985 nucleotides. RefSeq lists it as uncharacterized. The transcript is spliced from 3 exons. The record is from RefSeq and is a predicted model, not a curated record. Lineage: Eukaryota; Metazoa; Chordata; Aves; Galliformes; Phasianidae.